GCCCCCAUAGUGCAGAGGCCUAGCACACCGCUCUUUCACGGCGGCAGCACGGGUUCGAAUCCCGUUGGGGGUA
RNAcentral lists this transfer RNA (73 nucleotides) under Pseudomonadota bacterium. RNAcentral describes it as "tRNA-Glu". It matches the Rfam family "tRNA". Rfam says of the family: Transfer RNA (tRNA) molecules are approximately 80 nucleotides in length. Their secondary structure includes four short double-helical elements and three loops (D, anti-codon, and T loops). The record is from RNAcentral. RNAcentral also lists the same sequence under 1 other name. Lineage: Bacteria; Pseudomonadati; Pseudomonadota.